UACACUGCACGACCAGUGCGAUAAGGGAACUCCGAGUGAGAGGGCAUAUAGUCCUCGCUUUUCUGUACCGUAAGGAGGUACAGGAACAAGAGCUGGGCAAGACCGGUGCCAGCCGCCGCGGUAAUACCGGCAGCUCGAGUGAUGGCCGAUAUUAUUGGGCCUAAAGCGUCCGUAGCCGGCCAGGCAAGUCCGUCGGGAAAUCCACCCGCUUAACGGGUGGGCGUCCGGCGGAAACUGCACGGCUUGGGACCGGAAGACUCGAGGGGUACGUCCGGGGUAGGAGUGAAAUCCCGUAAUCCUGAACGGACCACCGAUGGCGAAAGCACCUCGAGAGGACGGAUCCGACAGUGAGGGACGAAAGCUAGGGUCUCGAACCGGAUUAGAUACCCGGG
Molecule: ribosomal RNA, 392 nt
Filed under: uncultured archaeon
Lineage: Archaea
Description: bacterial SSU rRNA
Rfam family: Archaeal small subunit ribosomal RNA
Source: RNAcentral